This 648-nucleotide small RNA is filed under the name Rattus norvegicus (Norway rat). Its description in RNAcentral is "uncharacterized LOC108351405". The record is from RNAcentral. Lineage: Eukaryota; Metazoa; Chordata; Mammalia; Rodentia; Muridae.
CCUUGGCGCCCCACGCCGUUGAUCCUCCAGUCCUCCGCCUGCAGCUGCGCCGGCCUGGACGCGCGGACCACCAGGUGCUGCAGGUCCCUCCAGCGCCAGGGCGAUCAUGCCAGCGGCCAGCGGGGCGGAGGCCGAGGUGCCCGUGUGCUUGUCGGUGCAUUGAUGGUGUAGGUCCGUGGUGACCUGGGGACAGACAGCAGAGGGACCUUGAUCUCCGUGCGCAGCCCAGAUGGGAAACUUGUGUGGAAGGUACUGGGGACUGAGUACAAAGUGCUGAACAUCAGCUUAAGUACGAGACUAAGCUGGGGAAACACAUGAAUGACUAAGCCCAAAAGGUACUGCGAGGGCCUGGUGACGCAGGAAUUUAAUUCCAGCACUCACUGGGGCAGAAGCUGGGACUUUUGGCCUAGACUGGUCUACACUGUGAGCACCUGGCUCAAAUAAAGAAUGCUAACGACCAAGUUUAGCAAGUACUGAGGACUAAGUCCCUGAGGACUAAGGGUCUGCUAAGGACUAAAUUCCAAAACCACUGAGCACUGAGUUCAAAAGGAUACAUGGCCCUACAUCUAAAAAGUGCCAAGACUCAAGACUUCAAGGUCCCAGGAACACAUGAUACUCUGCGUCUAGCUCACCGGUUCUCAUCGUUGG